UUCCAGCCAGAAUAACCUUUGUCAUUGUGCAACAGAAGUGUGUUUUUGUUUGCAGUGACGGAGACUCUGGCCUGCUUUGAAGAAGAUGCUCGACGCUUCUUAUUCCCAGAGCCCAAACUGGUUCCCUGCUCCUCUGGAGUGGAUCGAGAGGUUCUGAUGACCCGAGCACCUCACUUUCGAAGGCCAGUGAUAAAGAGGAGCAGGAAACACUCCAGCAGACCCAGGAGCUCUUCUCCUCAGGGGAAACAACCUCAAACUCUUGGAAUGAGACGAGGUGGCAGGACGUGCACAGAAAGACGCAGCAGCGCCUGGUCACCUUCUUACAUUCCCAGACCCCAUUCCCUGUCCCCUCUAAGAGCUGGAAACACACAGAGGAAACACUCUACAGCUCCCGGCCCAGCAGACUGGGACACUCGCCACACCUCUCAGCCUAUGCUGGCUUCGUGGCCUGGAGCCAGUCGUACUGCCACUCGUUCUGCCUCUUCAGUGUUUAUCAACUCCUCUUCACCUUUGACCAGGUCUUCAUUCAGAGUGAGAUAUUCUCCAACUGUCAGAAGAAAAUCUUUAUCCAAUGGUUUGGUUGGAGGGAUGUCAGAAGACGACUCCAGCUCUUCAGAAAUGCAUGACCCCAUUGACAAACACCAAGUUCCUGACCCUUCAAGGCUGUGGCGGUCUUAUAGGGAACAGGCCAGGCACAGCAGGUCUCAGUCCAGCUCUCACAGAGAAUGGGAAGAGGUCCAAGAGCGUGUUCGGGGACUCCUUACAACACCAAAAGCUGUACGCCGACUUGUCUAUGGGGCCACACACUGCGAGAUAGAUGAGGUUUUAGCCAGGAGGUCCUUCUCUCCGGGUCCACCGUGAUGACCUGUCCCCAGGCUCUGGAAAAGUGACGUGGACUUGUUCUAUCUCCAUGAGUUUCACAUUUUACAUUUUAAAACGCUGCCUCAUUGAGACAAUUAAAAUGCAACAUUUUAAUAUUCAUUUGAUUCUGGUUAGAGACCUUUUCUGGGAACUAUACAAUAAGGCAAACAAUAAAAAAUAAAAAAUGUCUUGAUACAAAAAUUGUAACCGUGUAUUCUGUCAUUCUGCCAUUAUAGAUG
Molecule: long non-coding RNA, 1100 nt
Filed under: Cottoperca gobio
Lineage: Eukaryota; Metazoa; Chordata; Actinopteri; Perciformes; Bovichtidae
Description: lncRNA (ENSCGOG00000024344.1)
Source: RNAcentral